GACGAACCGUCCAAACGUUAUUCGGAAUCACUGGGCUUACAGAGUUCGUAGGCGGUCUGGAAAGUUGGGUGUGAAAUCCCUCGGCUCAACCGAGGAACUGCGCUCAAAACUGCCAGACUCGAGGGAGAUAGAGGAAAGCGGAACUGAUGGUGGAGCGGUGAAAUGCGUUGAUAUCAUCAGGAACACCGGUGGCGAAGGCGGCUUUCUGGGUCUUACCUGACGCUGAGGAACGAAAGCGUGGGGAGCGAACAGG
Molecule: ribosomal RNA, 253 nt
Filed under: uncultured bacterium
Lineage: Bacteria
Description: partial 16S ribosomal RNA
Rfam family: Bacterial small subunit ribosomal RNA
Source: RNAcentral